RNAcentral lists this long non-coding RNA (787 nucleotides) under Homo sapiens (human). Its description in RNAcentral is "HSALNT0007313". Lineage: Eukaryota; Metazoa; Chordata; Mammalia; Primates; Hominidae. The record is from RNAcentral.
GUUUUGGGAAGGUGGUGAUGCCUGACAUCUGGCUGUUUUUCUGAACACAAGACAGUAAAAAAUGUUUGAGUAUCUGCAACGACAACAACAAAACACACUGGCCGAUACAGCCUGGUUUGUUUUUCUUUAUAGCACCUAUCAAAACCCAUCAGAUGGUCUGUCUACCUCCAUCAGAAUGUAAACUCUUUGAAGGGAGAAACAAUGGCAACGUCAACAGCAAUGGUUUAUCACAAGUCUGAACAUUCCUCUGUGGUAAGCAAAUCCAAGAGCCUUAAGGAAUAUGUAAACUCAAAAUCCAAGGCAAAGAGAAGGCAGCAGAAGCCAACAAAUUACGUGCCCAGGAAGAGAGGCAGUAGUAACUGUCAAAUCCUAUCUAAGAUGGAAAGAAGUAGAAGUCGAUUAAAUAUAGCAUCUGAGUCACCCUUCAUGACUAAAAGGGCUUCAAUUCAACCUUCACUACUAUAAGAGCUAUAAUAAUGGUGAAACUGUCUGUAUUCUUGGUACCAAUGAUUAAUUCCUAUGAAGGGAUAGGAACAACAGAACUGAACUGACACUGUAGUUGUUAGUUAAGGUUAAAGCUUAAGGUUAGAAAGAUUAAAAGCUUCCUAUGUAAAGGCAAAAAAAUAAAUAAAUUAAUUAAUUAAAUAAAAUAAAAUAAUUGCACCCCCAUUAUCUGUCAGGUCACAUGAGUACUUUUCACCUCCAGGUUGGGUAUGAGCAAGAAUACCAGCUCCAUUAAAUGUGUGACCUUGAACAUGCUACUAAAUCUCUCUGCAUCUGUAAAAUG